RNAcentral lists this long non-coding RNA (408 nucleotides) under Homo sapiens (human). RNAcentral describes it as "HSALNT0255157". Lineage: Eukaryota; Metazoa; Chordata; Mammalia; Primates; Hominidae. The record is from RNAcentral.
CUGAAUCAUUAAUCACUGUCCUAAACCUCUCAUCCAAGUGACUUUGCCUAUUAGAUUUGUAAAUCCUCUUCACCAAGAGAGAUUGAACUCCUUUAUCACCAUGUGGAGAAAAGCUGCCCACCAGCCAGACUUGGACCUGACUUCUCAGAAGACACCCCCACCUACCUUCACACGAUGCUUUGAGACCCUGGAAACUCAAGUGGCCACUGCUGGAUUCGCUCUGGGCAAGCUCUUGGAUCUGCACAUUCAUCCACGUCUGAAGAGUGGAAGAGAAAACCCAGGUCAAGCUUCCUCUUUCAUCUGUAGAGGCAACAUUUCUCUAUGCAGACGGGUCAUGCACUGGGGAGUAGCCAGUCGCCAUGUUGUAAGGAGAUUCAAGCAGUGCUGUGGAGGAACUGAGCCUCCCAC